RNAcentral lists this transfer RNA (72 nucleotides) under Cavia porcellus (domestic guinea pig). It matches the Rfam family "tRNA". Rfam says of the family: Transfer RNA (tRNA) molecules are approximately 80 nucleotides in length. The record is from Rfam by way of RNAcentral. Lineage: Eukaryota; Metazoa; Chordata; Mammalia; Rodentia; Caviidae.
AGGGAUAUAGCUCAAUGGUACAGCACCUGCCUGGCAAGCACAAGAUCAUGAGUUCGAUUCCCAAUACCACCC